GGCGGAUGUAGCCAAGUGGAUCAAGGCAGUGGAUUGUGAAUCCACCAUGCGCGGGUUCA
This 59-nucleotide transfer RNA is filed under the name Lathyrus clymenum. RNAcentral describes it as "tRNA-His". It matches the Rfam family "tRNA", at positions 1 to 55 of the family's 71-position model. Rfam says of the family: Transfer RNA (tRNA) molecules are approximately 80 nucleotides in length. Their secondary structure includes four short double-helical elements and three loops (D, anti-codon, and T loops). Further hydrogen bonds mediate the characteristic L-shaped molecular structure. tRNAs have two regions of fundamental functional importance: the anti-codon, which is responsible for specific mRNA codon recognition, and the 3' end, to which the tRNAs corresponding amino acid is attached (by aminoacyl-tRNA synthetases). tRNAs cope with the degeneracy of the genetic code in two manners: having more than one tRNA (with a specific anti-codon) for a particular amino acid; and 'wobble' base-pairing, i.e. permitting non-standard base-pairing at the 3rd anti-codon position. Lineage: Eukaryota; Viridiplantae; Streptophyta; Magnoliopsida; Fabales; Fabaceae. The record is from RNAcentral. RNAcentral also lists the same sequence under 2 other names.